Molecule: ribosomal RNA, 532 nt
Filed under: uncultured Actinomycetes bacterium
Lineage: Bacteria; Bacillati; Actinomycetota; Actinomycetes
Description: bacterial SSU rRNA
Rfam family: Bacterial small subunit ribosomal RNA
Source: RNAcentral
CAGAAAAAGCCCCGGCCAANUACGUGCCAGCAGCCUCGGUAAUACGUAGGGGGCAAGCGUUGUCCGGAAUUAUUGGGCGUAAAGAGCUCGUAGNCGGCUUAGUAAGUCGGCGGUGAAAUACCGAGGCUCAACCUCGGCACUGCCGUCGAUACUGCUAUGGCUAGAGUUUGGUAGAGGAGAACGGAAUUCCCGGUGUAGCGGUGGAAUGCGCAGAUAUCGGGAGGAACACCCGUAGCGAAGGCGGUUCUCUGGGCCAAUACUGACGCUGAGGAGCGAAAGCGUGGGGAGCAAACAGGAUUAGAUACCCUGGUAGUCCACGCUGUAAACGUUGGGCACUAGGUGUGGCGACCCGAUCAACGGUUGCCGUGCCGAAGCUAACGCAUUAAGUGCCCCGCCUGGGGAGUACGGCCGCAAGGCUAAAACUCAAAGGAAUUGACGGGUCCCCGCACAAGCGGCGGAGCAUGCGGCUUAAUUCGAUGCGACCCGAAGAACCUUACCUGGGUUUGACAUCAUGGGAAAAGCCGUAGAGAUA